Molecule: long non-coding RNA, 3259 nt
Organism: Corvus hawaiiensis (hawaiian crow)
Lineage: Eukaryota; Metazoa; Chordata; Aves; Passeriformes; Corvidae
Exons: 3
Source: RefSeq, a predicted model, not a curated record
AGAAGUUUUCUGAGAGGAAUGGGUGAGUGAGGGAUGCAGCAGCAAAACUUUGUGGAGGAGAUGAAACACAAGGACCUGAAAAUUUCUGCAUGGAGGGGAGACAGCACAUGUUUGGCAUUUCUGUUGGUGUUUUCUUGGACAGCAGAGAGAGACUGGGAGCUGGUUCCUGCAAUCAGACUUCCUUGAUGUCCUUCUCUCAUGGAGGGAAUCAAAGAACUCCAUUCGUGAAAGGCUGACAAGCCCUGGCAUACUUGGAGAGACCAAACAAAGUUUUCAAAGCAGCUGAUGGAUAUUUCAGUAGGAAGGACUCAGUCAACAGACUUGGCAGAGGACCCCAUCGUUUCUCACCUACCUUUCACCAAUAGUGAGGAAUAAGUGUUGGGUGUCAGGCUGUAGACUUCACUUUUAAAAAGCAGGAAGUCUUGACUGCUCUCCAGGAUCCAGCCGCAGGCUCCAGACCUGUUGAUAUUUUCAGAUACAUGGGAACUAUGAAUUCUUUGUGGAAAAGAGCUCCAUGUAAAGGACUUGAAAUAAAAAUCCCCCAUGUAAACAGUAAUGUGCUACCUAACAACCCUGUCUCUUGUGAUCAUGACAACGUUUUCUUUCUUUGCCUGUGUGAGGAACAUAGGGGUUCACAUUUAUGAAGGUAUGCUUUGAUUAAUGCCUUUAUUGUUAGUCCAUAGAAUGCAGCCUUCGUUUAAAUUUCCAUUUUGUUUGGUACAAUUUUGCUCAUUGUGUACAUUAUUGGGCAGAAUAUCCUUGUUGGUUCAUUUACAAUGGUAAGUGCUCUUCUCUCCAGGGUCACCACCAAUGCUUUUACAUUCUGAUGGGUUCAGUCUUGCUGCUGGCACAGAUCACUGUGACUUCAUGUCCAAAAAUGUAUGCCCUGUUAGGCACACUGAAAAGAUGUUUCAUUACUGCUGUGGAAUAGAGCACACUCAACUUAUCUCUUAUUGAAACAAAAAGGUGGGUCUGAAGUGAGUUUCUCCCCCCUUUUUCCUAUCAGCAGCUCUCUCUUUCUGUGUGUGAAUGUGUGUGUGUGUGAGCAUAUACACUCAUAUCAGCUUCUUAGGAACUGUACACUGCUUUCAGUGUGUAAAACUACUGCUUUCCACAGAGAUUUGCAGCUUACAGAUGAGAAACUGAGGCACAAAAAAGCUGGCAACUAGAUUUUUUCCAUUUUGAGACAUAAAUUCUGGAUGGGAACUGGGAUGAGGUAUCUGAAUGAGAUACUCAGAGAGCUGUUGAAAAGGAGUUUUUAUAGGAUCUCUUGAACCAGGCACAUCAAACAGUGAAGGAGCAGGGGUUGGAUCAAGCAGUCCUGUUUGGUGGUACCCCAUUGUUGAGGUGAUGUGUACUAUAUUUGUAUCCACCAGACUGCAAGACAGGGCAGGGCUAAUUCCACCUGGGGAUCCAGCCUGAAAUGGUUUUUCCACAGUUUCUGGUUCUUAACAUUUUCUUAUAACAUCCUGAAAACUCUUCUUAGACUUCAGGUGCUCAAAAUAUUCAGGCUUCUAAAUUAGCUGCUUAUUGUUGCCUAUCCCGACAUGGGGACAUCCCAUUGAGCAGGGCUGGAUGUCCAUUAGCCACCCAAAUGCUCACCAGAGCUUGCAGGCUGAGGCUGGGUGCUGGCUGGAUGUCACACAUGGUGACUUAAAACGGUGCUUGCCCAGGGAAUUUGGCUCUUUGAUCCGCGUUUGAUAAUUGGAUCAUUCCUAAACUUGAAACUUGUUCCUGGGGGAGAAACACACGUGCAGAGUGAAAGGACAGGAUUUGUGCCACCCUUUUCCAUCCAGAAAUCUAACCUGUAUUUGUGGAAGAAAUUGUGUUGACCUUAGCCAAGUGAGGAAACACAAACCUAGGAAAGAUGCCCCAAAGUAACCAGUUGUGCUUUCACCCUGAUGACAUGGUGUGGGGCAGUCCAAAUCACACCCUCAGCAGUGAGUGAACGUCUCCUUGGUGGCAGGCUGGCUUCACAGAUAAAACAGUGCAGUGAUAGGACUGCCAGGUAUUAUUUUAAAGGAACCUCAGUUAAUGAGCACCUAUUACAACAACUCUGACAGAACUUAGGCUUCAGGCUGGCUGCAGAGCAAACCGAAAGCAGCUAGAAGAGAAACAAAAAUACUGUGGGGUAACAUCAAUAUGUUGACCACAGGGUCCCUCCAGUGCAAAAUAUUCUGGGACACUAAUAAAAAUAAAUUAAUCCUUCCAGCCAACUUAAAUAUCCCCUGACAUAAAGAAUUUAGAUUCACUAUUUUUAAACACUGAAGAAGAAAAAAAAUUAUCACUUGUGCAAUGUUGUUACAAGAUUUCUCCCAUAGCCCUUAACUCAGGCAUAUUUCAUAGUGUGUAUUAAUACAUAAGCAAUCACACAGAGCAGUUUUUAUUUAAUAAGAAAACAGGAAUAUAAAAUUAUAAUAUGUACAGAAUAAGACAGGACUGAACUUUUUCUGGGCCACUGGAUGUUAAAACCUUCCAUCUCCAUGGGGGUUUGCCAGAAUUCCUCCAUGCUUCAGCAGCAGACAAUGAACUAGAUUGUGACUCCAUGGAGCUGAAUUCCUCCAAGCAAAUAGCUGGGAUGGAUAACAUGCCAUGCCCCAGCUUCUGGUGCAGUACUUGCUAACUCAGAAUUUUCUAGCCUGUAGAGAAGGCCUCCAUGACAGGGAAGGAUGGGAUGGCUGGAAGGGCAAGGCUAGGGAGCAGCUCAUCUGUAGUUUUGGGGAUCUCACUGGUCAGCACCUCUGCAGAAGGUCAGCAGUAUCUCCUGCUGUCCUGGUGAAAUGGGGCAAAAAUCUGAGAUGAGACUCUCAUAGCUGAGGCUGCCUCUGCAAAGAAUGGGAGAUCUUCUCAGCAUCUGGUGAAAGCCAUGCUUGCCUGCUGAAGGCAUUUUCAAGAGAUAAAAGGAGCAAACUGACCAGCUGGACACAUCAUAAAAUCUGUUGGCUGUCAUGUGAAUACGACUUGUGCUGAGGAAACAGACUCGAGGAGAAAGAAGGAACUGAGGCGCUGGAAAACUGACCUCAGACCACUGGCAAGGUGGCCACAUGUAGAGCACUGGCCGUGUACAAGGCCACCUGUCUUCUUCCUGCUGUGCCACAAAGUGCAUGGAUGUUAGAAGUCAUGUGUGAUUUUAUUUGGUGGGGACCCAGAACUUGUCAGCAAAACUGAGGACCGAUCACAGGCCUGUGUUCAACAUCUUCCUGAGAAAACUGCUCAAAAUAUAUGACUACAUUUUCUUUUGUGAGGUCUUUUUCAGCAU